This 380-nucleotide ribosomal RNA is filed under the name uncultured eukaryote. Its description in RNAcentral is "partial 18S ribosomal RNA". It matches the Rfam family "Eukaryotic small subunit ribosomal RNA", at positions 592 to 976 of the family's 1831-position model. The record is from RNAcentral.
CAAUAGCGUAUAUUAAAGUUGUUGCGGUUAAAAAGCUCGUAGUUGGAUUUCUGCCGAGGACGACCAGUCCGCCCACUGGGUGAGCAUCUGGCUCAGCCUUAGCAUCUUCUUGGAGAACGUAUCUGCACUUCAUUGUGUGGUGCGGUAACCAGGACUUUUACUUUGAGGAAAUUAGAGUGUUUCAAGCAGGCGUGCGCCUUGAAUACAUUAGCAUGGAAUAAUAAGAUAGGACCUUAGUUCUAUUUUGUUGGUUUCUAGAGCUGGGGUAAAGAUUAAUAGGGAUAGUUGGGGGCAUUCGUAUUUAACUGUCAGAGGUGAAAUUCUUGGAAUUGUUAAAGACGGACUACUGCGAAAGCAUUUGCCAAGGAUGUUUUCAUUGA